Molecule: ribosomal RNA, 631 nt
Filed under: uncultured bacterium
Lineage: Bacteria
Description: bacterial SSU rRNA
Rfam family: Bacterial small subunit ribosomal RNA
Source: RNAcentral
GGCGCACGGGUGAGUAACGCGUGGAUAAUCUGCCUUUUAGUUGGGAAUAACGUACCGAAAGGUGCGCUAAUACCGGAUAAUACUGCACAACUACUGUUAUGUAGUCAAAGAAGGCCUCUGUUUACAAGCUUUUGCUGAAAGAUGAGUCCGCGUACCAUUAGCUAGUUGGUAGGGUAAUGGCCUACCAAGGCUACGAUGGUUAGCUGGUCUGAGAGGAUGAUCAGCCACACUGGAACUGAGACACGGUCCAGACUCCUACGGGAGGCAGCAGUGAGGAAUAUUGCGCAAUGGGGGCAACCCUGACGCAGCAACGCCGCGUGAGUGAGGAAGGUUUUCGGACCGUAAAGCUCUGUCGAGUGGGAAGAAAUGUAUUAUGGCUAAUAUCCAUGAUACUUGACGGUACCGCUAAAGGAAGCACCGGCUAACUCCGUGCCAGCAGCCGCGGUAAUACGGGGGGUGCAAGCGUUGUUCGGAAUUAUUGGGCGUAAAGAGCGUGUAGGCGGCUGAAUAAGUCAGAUGUGAAAUCCCUGGGCUUAACCCAGGAAGUGCAUUUGAAACUAUUCAGCUUGAGUAGGGGAGAGGAAAGUGGAAUUCCUGGUGUAGAGGUGAAAUUCGUAGAUAUCAGGAGGAA